RNAcentral lists this ribosomal RNA (1321 nucleotides) under Parabacteroides distasonis. RNAcentral's name for it is "bacterial SSU rRNA". It matches the Rfam family "Bacterial small subunit ribosomal RNA", at positions 90 to 1412 of the family's 1533-position model. The record is from RNAcentral. Lineage: Bacteria; Pseudomonadati; Bacteroidota; Bacteroidia; Bacteroidales; Tannerellaceae.
GGCGACCGGCGCACGGGUGAGUAACGCGUAUGCAACUUACCUAUCAGAGGGGGAUAACCCGGCGAAAGUCGGACUAAUACCGCAUGAAGCAGGGGCCCCGCAUGGGGAUAUUUGCUAAAGAUUCAUCGCUGAUAGAUAGGCAUGCGUUCCAUUAGGCAGUUGGCGGGGUAACGGCCCACCAAACCGACGAUGGAUAGGGGUUCUGAGAGGAAGGUCCCCCACAUUGGUACUGAGACACGGACCAAACUCCUACGGGAGGCAGCAGUGAGGAAUAUUGGUCAAUGGCCGAGAGGCUGAACCAGCCAAGUCGCGUGAGGGAUGAAGGUUCUAUGGAUCGUAAACCUCUUUUAUAAGGGAAUAAAGUGCGGGACGUGUCCCGUUUUGUAUGUACCUUAUGAAUAAGGAUCGGCUAACUCCGUGCCAGCAGCCGCGGUAAUACGGAGGAUCCGAGCGUUAUCCGGAUUUAUUGGGUUUAAAGGGUGCGUAGGCGGCCUUUUAAGUCAGCGGUGAAAGUCUGUGGCUCAACCAUAGAAUUGCCGUUGAAACUGGGGGGCUUGAGUAUGUUUGAGGCAGGCGGAAUGCGUGGUGUAGCGGUGAAAUGCAUAGAUAUCACGCAGAACCCCGAUUGCGAAGGCAGCCUGCCAAGCCAUUACUGACGCUGAUGCACGAAAGCGUGGGGAUCAAACAGGAUUAGAUACCCUGGUAGUCCACGCAGUAAACGAUGAUCACUAGCUGUUUGCGAUACACUGUAAGCGGCACAGCGAAAGCGUUAAGUGAUCCACCUGGGGAGUACGCCGGCAACGGUGAAACUCAAAGGAAUUGACGGGGGCCCGCACAAGCGGAGGAACAUGUGGUUUAAUUCGAUGAUACGCGAGGAACCUUACCCGGGUUUGAACGCAUUCGGACCGAGGUGGAAACACCUUUUCUAGCAAUAGCCGUUUGCGAGGUGCUGCAUGGUUGUCGUCAGCUCGUGCCGUGAGGUGUCGGCUUAAGUGCCAUAACGAGCGCAACCCUUGCCACUAGUUACUAACAGGUAAAGCUGAGGACUCUGGUGGGACUGCCAGCGUAAGCUGCGAGGAAGGCGGGGAUGACGUCAAAUCAGCACGGCCCUUACAUCCGGGGCGACACACGUGUUACAAUGGCGUGGACAAAGGGAAGCCACCUGGCGACAGGGAGCGAAUCCCCAAACCACGUCUCAGUUCGGAUCGGAGUCUGCAACCCGACUCCGUGAAGCUGGAUUCGCUAGUAAUCGCGCAUCAGCCAUGGCGCGGUGAAUACGUUCCCGGGCCUUGUACACACCGCCCGUCAAGCCAUGGGAGCC